CUUAAACUUUCUGUCUCCAGUUUGUUAGUUUCUCACUUCUCCAGAUUUCCUGUGUGGAAUGAUUUUCAUGAGCAGUGACCCAUUAAUAAAAGUUUGACAAGCAGCAAGUGUCAGCAUUCAGAAGCUUCCCAAAACCACUCCAGACACUUAUUUGUGGAUUUAUUUUAAAGCACCAUCUAAAUUAACUUUAAUUUUAAGAGAUUAAAACUGAAUGCACAAAGUCAACAGUUACAUUUGCUUUGAUUUUGAUGACUAUGACCCUGGGAUACAAUCUUAAAACCUCUAUUUUCAUUCUCCUGUUCUGCUUCUACCACCAUCUUUGCUGUUCCAAAAGUACCCUAAAAGCUUUAAAUUCAAGAUUAUUGCUCCUAUAAUAUCUCCGCUCAAACUAUCUGUUCUUAUGCUUUUAUUUCCUGAUUCUUUUGCAGAACGCACAUGAGCUGUACCACAAGAACAUCGACUGCAUGCUAAGAGCAGUGACAGCCUUGGUUUUAAAGAAGUGGUGGUCAAAGAAAUGCCCUAGAUAAGCCCACCCACAUCCUUUUUACUGACACAUACAUACUAAAAUAAACAUCACCACAAAAACAUAUAAUGGCAAUGGUAAUCAGAAUUAAUACUUUUUGUGGUUCCACAUUUUCCAAACACUAUUCCUUUAUCAGUUACAGUCUGCAAAGCUUCAGUUUGUCAGUGUACAUUUAAAAGAAUACAAGCAUGUGUUUACUGGAUGCUCACACUGAAGUUGGGCAUGGUUUCAGAAUACAAUUUUACCACAUCACAAGCCUUGAGAAAAAACAUUUUCUUCCACAGAGAGGUUCAGUUACUGAGGAAACACAAAGCUCUUCAUCUCACUGUUUAAGACCCAAACCCAGGAAAAGCAACAUGCUUGAAAACAAAAUGCAUGCUUUUGGAGUUAGAACUUUCUGUGUAAAACACACAGAGACACAGACACACACAUUCAGGGGAGGCUCAGGGCACCAUUAAUAAUUACGGUUAAUAUGAUCUCACUUAAACUUGAGAGGGGACGUGUAAGUCAGCUCUUCACAGCUCUUGCAAGUGCAUGACACAGAGAGAGAGAAAGAGAGAGAGAGAGAGAGUGUGUCAGAGAGGACAUAAAGUGUAUGUGUGUGUGUGUGUGUGUGUGUGUGUGUCGUGUAAUGCAGCUGCUGCGUGAUGAUCAACAUCCACAAGCUUCUUUACUUCGCUAACUGUGGGAGCAGGCGUAAAUAGAUGGCCUCUUCAUUAGCUGAGCUGGAGAUGCUGACCAUCAUGUUUUCUCUCCUGGUUUUUGCCCUCUUCACACUUGGAGGGAUGCUCAAUGAGGAAUGUGGACAGUCAAAUGCGACUAACACAAACCCACAAAACGAUGUGCUGACUGUCUGACUUUGAUGAGGGUUAUGAUUCAGAUACAGAAGAUUCACAGGGGAAAAGCAGCCCUCUGAGAAUGUGACAGUCAAAGCCCCCUCCUGUGUGUGAACCUGUUGGUUACCAGACAAAAAGUUGAACUGAUAACCUCUGAACACAAGUGCAUGUGUACUUUGUUAAAGGAUCUUGCAUCCUCCAGGAUGAGCCAUAGGGGAGUGGCCUACACUACACAUUGUAAAAGAAAAAAAAAAGGACUGAACAAAGAAACGCCUGCUUUAACAAACACUGUCAAGUCAGUAUCUCGCGCCUGCUUUCUUUGUGAGAGUGUGAAGACAGAAGGAUUUUAUCUAACCUAGAACUGAAAGCAGCUGCUUCUACCAUUGUGUAGAUGGAACUGCCAUUCACUGGCUUUGAGCUGACCUUCAUCAUCGUUGCCUUCAUCAUCUUCACUCUCUUCAGUUUGGCUUCAGUCUGUUUUCAACCACAGGCAGCCCGGCCAGAAAAAGAUGUCUAUGAAGUGAAGAAACUGCAGCCAUGUAACAGGAAGCAGAGAGUGAUCAUCAAAGAAGCUGGACAGAACACAUAAAGCAAACAUUAUAAACCCCAGCUGAGUGAAGGCAAAACUGAAAACACCGCUUACUGUUCUUUUUUUUUUUUUGUAUUAGUGUUGACGCAAUGCCCAUUACAGUAGGUUCCCACAAUAAAGAUAAGGUGGCAAUAAACUGUACCCUAUUAAUUAUACAGCUUCGUAAGUUAUGAGUAUUGUUAUAAGGCUGAAGGUAAUCAUUUAGAAGUGUAACACAAAUUGCUAACAGCAUAAUGUGAUCUCAGCGUAUUUGUUCAGGUAUCUGGAGAGGACGAUUAGAUAAACUUGUAGAGCAAAGAUCCUGUUUGUACAGUUUAUCACUGUAACACCACAUCUUUUCUUUCCUCUAUGAUAAUUUGCUCUUUAGCUCCAUCUACAGUUUAAAAAAAGCAUCAGCUGAAUUCUGAACUGAGGCCACAGAAAAAUAGGUAGAGUUAAAUGCCGUGGAGCUGAAGAACCAGACAGAGCCGAACACUGAUGCACAGAUCUCUGACAAGCCGUGAUGUCUUGUCUAGGAUUUAACAAACCAAGUGACUUUCGGCCCCUGCAGCCCUCGUGGGGUGACAUCCCAGGGGGUUAGAGGCUGCUCCCUGUGGAGAAUGCCCCUCGACCCUUAAGCCCUCCGUCACUCCUCUGCAGUCAGCCGUCUAGCUGUUGACAUGAAGCGGAGGAGGAGCUCCAGAAUAAAGCAACUGAGGAAGAUUUUCUUUUAAAGCCAGCGUCUUUGGUGUGUAAUGAUGAUCCUGUGUGUGUGUGUGUGUGUGUGUGUGUGUGUGUGUGUGUGUACUCCUGUUCAUGUGUAUAUGCAGCCAUUGAGGUUAGUAUUGGGCUGUUGAAGAGAUAAAGGGUCUUCAGAGUAAUUAAGCUCUGGCUGGAUGGCUACAGCCCUCAUUAACACUGACGAUAUUGUGGCAUGACAACAGACCCACUAUCACUCUAAUGAUGGUCAAUGAACUCACCAGGCCACAAUCCACACCCGUGCACACAGACACAAGGGCAAGGACACACCCCUACAAAUUCAGACAUCACGGCACAUUUCAACUAUGGCCACUCGUUUCAUCACCUACACUCUGCUCCUGAAUGAGAAACAGAACAACCCACACAAGCUCCGGCCAUCACGUCAGCUCUUUGAUUCAUAAGACCUUAGACUAUGGAAACAUCUCACGUGCAAACCAUCCUAUAAAGAGAGGGGUGAUCAUUCUUAAAAAGAAACAAACAUAAACUCUUCCAUAUAAAGCACAAGGAGGUCAUAAUUAUAUGCAAUCUUUGGACUAUUUGUGAAAUUGUGGUCUUAUAAUGCCAAUAUUUGUUUUUAUUUUAUUUUCAGCCCAGCAGUAUUUGCAACAAGGCUUAUAACAACCUAUAUGCCUAUAUUGGCCUUCAUUAUUUUCUCAUGUAAUCCAUUCUGUAUCAAAUCACCCAGAAAUUUCCCAGAAAUUCAGAACUCAUUCACAUUGUCUUUCUUGAACAACCAGCAGUGUGUACAAUGGAAAUGUGUUCAGCUUUCUAUCAUAACAUGUAGCCCAACUGCUAAAUAUUUACAUCUGAGAACCUACGAUGAAAAAUAUUUAUAACUAAAUAUUUCCGUUAAACCGACUGGUUCUGGUAUCUUUGUUUUUAGCAAAAUAAAUCCUUGAUAAAUCAUAAUACUGUGUUAUAUUGGUCAUGAAAUAUUUCAAUAUCACCAUUGAGCAGUCCCGCUGCUCAUGAUUUUUUAAUAUAACUGUGUUCUAAUGUAAAAGGCAGUUGUGUAUGAAUAGUCUGAAAAUAAAGAUGGGAAGUUUAUUGGGUUUAUUUUGUUCUUUCUCUAAUGCAAAUUAAAAACUGUGGCACAGAGAAUCACCAGAUCCUCAACCAUCAUCAAAUCUACAGCUGUACAUCAACUAAACAUCAGUAUCGACCUAUGUGAUUGAUAUCAAGUAUAAAAAAGUGGGCGUUGAUUUGCCACAUUAACUGUGCGCUAGAUAAAUGUUUGAAAAUAGUGUGUUAAGGAACUGAGAGGAUGACCUGUCUUUUGUUUAUGCCUCCAGCGAAGUUGAAAAGACUUUCAAGAACGGUGAUCUGGAAGCUCAAUGGGGAAAAAACCUCACUAAAAAGUUCUACUGGUCACCCAUCUACAGCAUGUACCUUAUAUUACCAUUUCAGUGUUUUAAUGAUAUGUGCUAAUGAUCACCCAAGUCCAAAAGUUACAGGGGCAUUUUAUGGAGCACUGUUCUUCCGAGCAAGUUUUGUCAGAGAUAAAGAAAGCUCCUUAUCUGCUGAUCCCGGUCAAGAGAUGAUGACAGAGGAAAAGAAGAAAGUGAAACUUUAAGAGGAGGGGAGGAGACGCUGUAAAGUCAGUACAGCUGCUGGGAAAACCAGGACUGCUGUUAACACUCGUAAUAACAGCAGCCCUGCAGUCCAACUGUUUUCUGAGCUGCACACUAAUUCAGAGCACACUGCCUGCUGAGUUCAGGCACACAUUGGACUAAAAUAUGAGCACGCUGAGCGACGGGAUUAAUAACAGGGCUGGUACUUGGGAAUGCUUCAAAUAAAUGGUCACACAUAAGGCUGCAAAUAAUUUGCUACCAGCUAUUUUUCCUCAUUUAGUCACAUCAUGGUUCUGAAAUGUCAAAAAAAAUCUUUUAACGUUUACUGCUAUGCUGGACUAACUGCCCAAACUCAGACUUUUGAGUUUUACAAUUUCAGUAGUCUGUCUAAUUUAAUUUUUUGAGACUUUUUGCUUGAAAAAUACUGACAAAAAAAGUAUUUAAUCAGCUAAUAAAAUUCUUGCUCUAAUCCAAAAAGAGGCUGAUGUUUUAGCGCAGAUACAAGUAGCAAGACAGCAUUUUGGUUACUUUACACUCAGAGAGGUAAAUCCACUUUCCAAAUGGUUUCCAUCACACACAUGAACACAUAAAGCACACAUCCUGAUGCUGUUUUAGCAAAGCAGAAAGAAACAAUUUAGAUAAAUGCUCAUCCUUCUCAGUCAUUUCCACAGCAAAAGUGGAUUUGCAGCUGUUCUGUUUUUAUCGAUGUCAACUCAUUAUCUUCACAUGUUAUCUUGGGCUUGUUGUUUGUUAAACACUUCAUACAAUGCAAAAAUGCACUGCACUGUUUAAGUAACCAAAGAUGGCUCUCACGCCACAAAAGAACAAGCUUCACCUGCAGCCCUGCCAGGGUACUGCAGCAAUGUGAGAGCUCGCCCAGUCUGUGUGUGCCUCUCUCACGGGGGGGUGUUCAAGCAGGCUGGAUAAUCCUCGUAAACACGAAUAAUCCCUUUUAUAAGGGCAAAUUAUUACAACACGCUCUGCAGCGAAGACCUGGUGGGAGAAUCUGGUAUGAAUCUUACUCUCUUACUCCAAAGGGCAGGUAGACAGAAAGUAAGGAACACAGAGAGGCAGAGGUCUGGCAGGAGUUAGCAGGCAGUGGAUACCAGGUGGCUGUGAAUGACAAUUGAGACCAAAUAAGCAUAUUCAAAUUGGGAAAAUAAAAGUUUUUUAAAUGACAAAGGCAGCUGAUAUGCAAAGUGCAGCUCACCACAGAAACAAACUACAUACCUCAGCAGAGUGUUUGCAGCAGGAUGAAUGUGUGUGUUUGUGUGUUGUUGGGGAAGAAUCUCUGUCAUUUCAAGGAGCAUUUUUGCAAACAUCAUAAAGCAAUAAAAGGCAACAUUUCAAAAUGCGACACCGACAAACAACACUAAAAAACACAAAGACCCUGGCCUUGGCUUUAUUCUUGAGAGCUGAAGGAGCUGACGGCCCAGGUGCUCGUUCAGAGACUCUCUGACUGUUUCAAGCCCUGCGGUCCAUUAGUGUCCUGCUGCUCCUCUAAUCCUCAUUCACAUGUAACGGCUGACAUUUCAUCUUAAUGUGUUAAUUCAUUAGCUGGGUGCUGAAUGGAGAGACUCAGUCCACAGAGACGGCCGUCAGCAGACACACUAAUGAGUCCCCCCCGCGCGCAGCCGGUGACUGCAGAGCUAAUGCCAAGUGAAGUGGGUUACCUGCUGCAGGAAACCCCAACGAUGGGCUACCCGGAUACCCACGCAGGGCUGGAUAUUUCUUGGAAUGUGGCAUAAUAAAAACAGCGCUUAUACAAUACAGACUCUUUUUACCAAAACCAAACAAAAGAAGCAAAGCCGAGAGAAAUGCUGCUAUUGUAAAUGAAAAACCUGUCAGCACCACUCUUUGGGCUUUUAAAUGUGCAAAGUUCUGCUUUAUUUGAUUUAUGUAUUCAUUUUUAAUUUCACCGUGGAUCCAUUGUAAAAAAAUAUAUUAUUUAAUGAUUAUUUAAUCAUUUUUGGCAUAAUAAUAAUAAUGUAUUUUAUCAGUGGGAAAAGCUGUGAUGCAGUUAAAAAUCCAGACUUUAUCCCUUCCCCCUUCCCACUCUAAAAAUCCUUGCUGAGGUUCUGCUGCUCCCUCUCAUCGGAUGACGCCAGAAAAAUAAGAAUAACUAAACAAUCUUUAUAUAAGUUAGCCACAGAAUGCUUUGUUUACUUCUCUGGUUAUCCUUGUGCUAUAAGAUAUUUAUCAAGUUCACCUGGAUAUUGUGGGUUGUUUUUUUUAACUGUAAUGGUUUAUCCAUGUGAUGAGAGAAACAACCAACUAAAAGCCAACAUUACAGAGGCAGGCCUUCAUGCUGUCACUCAGAGACAGUACAAGAUCUACACAGACAGUUAAGACGUCUUUGGUCAUCAUUAGUCUGCCGUCCCCUAGAUUUCAUUCGGAGGACCGCUGCCCCCCAAAACUGCCCCCACCACCUCAACACCCAAAAGCUCCAGAUGUAUAUAUGUGUGUGUGUGUGUGUGUGUGUGUGUGUGUGUGUGUGUGUGUGUGUGUGUGCGCAUGUGUGUGUGUGUCUUCAUCUGUUGGGGAGCAGGAGAGAGCCAGGCGGGAUCUGGUUCUUGGAGGACCUGCUAUUUCCAGUCACAGCUUCUUAAAUCUUUGCUCUAAUGUUACAGGUGAUAAAUCUUCCCUGCCUGCUCACUCCGCUCUCUUUGAAAAUAUCAGCCACUUGCGCACACAAAAUACAGCAUGCAGCACAAGAGUGUGUGUUCAAGGGGCAGUUCAGGGUGCACGGAGGGGGCUUCCUGUCAUUUGAAUUACCCCUCUACAUGUGGGGUCAAUAUGUGCCGAAAUGUGUGUUUGUGUGUGUGUGUUUGAGGGAUAGAGAGUUUUGUGUGUGUAUGGGGGGGGGGGGCUGUUGUGGGAACUACCCACCCAGCCCCCCUCCCUCUAAAAAAGGCUGUAUAAAGGAGGAAGGGGGAGAAGCACCUUUGUCACUUCGCUCUCAGACACAGAGACAUUCCUUCAGGGACAUAGCGAUUAUCCUCAGAAGAGAUCUACUUGUUCGUACUGGAUUCUCCCAGAGGAGGAUUUCCUGACAGAAAAGAGAAGAGGGGCAAAUCUGAAAGACACUCAGCAUCUCCAGUCCAGUCCGGAUUUGAGCUACAGGGACUCUCCGGAAUUAUUUGUGAAAAUUAUCAUAAGUUUCAGCUCCUGAAACCAGCUGCCACCUAACUAUGAGGAUAUUCAACCUGCUCUACCUUCUCAUGCUGCUCGCAGUCAUGGCAGCAUCGGUCUCCUCUGCCAAGCCAGGUAAGCGUCCUCAGACUUCACCACCCAGAGGUGUCCAUUUAAAGGGGGACGCCUAUAAAUCUGAACGUUAAUGUUAGUAAUGUCUGCUAGGUACAAUAAAACUUUUUUUUUUUUUAAAAAGAAAAAUAAAUACAUAAAUAAAGCUUUACAACCAGUUACAUGGACCAAAACAUAGUCCCGGUCAGCAGCGUUCUGAAUCACUGCGCACUGACCCUUAAACUCGCAUCCAUGGCAACAAGCUUGGACUAUGUUAGCUAUAGUUAACUGUCACUAAUAAAACAGAUUAGCUUAACCCUAUGAGUUAAACAGACUUAAAACUUUUAAUAGAAAAGUUUCGUUUAUUUUUCUGUUUUAACCUAAGCAAUGUUAAAAGUGCGCGAGAUAAUUUGACGGCCAAUUAUUGACGGGAUGUUACUUCUUUAUAACAGUGGUGAUGCAUUCACUGCUUGUUGUGAAAAAGUUAAAUAGUCAAUAUUUACAGUUAUUAUCUCAAAGAUUUUCACCCGGUAACUUGAAAUUAUUUUUCUCAGUUUUGAGUUAUUAGGUCAAACUUUUUUUUUGACUAUUUGGAAAUAAAUAAAUGAAACUUUUAGUGGUGGAAUCAAGCUUCCUCAGCUCAAAGGCUCCAGUCUCAUAAACAAAUUACAGCUGAGUGACACUGAUAAUUAAGUGUCGGUUUUUAUUGAUUUCGCAUAAUGCAGGAAAAGCACUUUUUAAAGCCUCCUUUUAGCCUGACCACAAAUAAGUACCCCCCAUCUGUAAUAAGGAAAAAAAAACGUUUUAGUGUUCCUGCCUCGUAGCAGGUGCGCUUUCCCCCGCAAAUUCUCGACUUUUUUUGCGGUUAUCUUUGCGCAGAUGCAAAAAAAAAAAAAAGAAAAGAAAAGAAAAAAAAGGGGAGGGGGCGGCUGCUGUUAAAGGGGGAGGUUUUGUGCCUCGGGUCGUGAUAUAGGUUCAUGUGCUGAUGGCGAGGACACGAUGAUGAGAGGAUAAAAGGAGGAGUGGAGGACAGCGGAGCGCCGCCGGGGUAUCCGCAAAGCGGACCGGUGGGCUCUUUGUCCCCGGCUGGAAGGCGCUCCGGAGCGCUUUUGUUAAUGACAGUGUUAAAACUUCAUGCAAAUACCCGCGCUUUAUUUACAUGACAUGGAGUAGCAGUGGCAAGUAUAAAGCAGGCUACCUUCAGGGUGGGGUGGGGGGCAGCUUCUUUCAGAGGUACAGGCAGAGAGGGUGGGAGGGGAGUCAUAAAGUCAUCUGGCGGUUUAUCUCUUCCUGGGCUUGGCUGGCAGUCUGGAUUUAUUAGGGACGUAUAAAAAUAAUCACGUGUUAGGUGAGUGUGUCCCAGCUGUUUGUAAAUGGGUUGCAAUAAAGAAAAGAAACUCUUAAAGUGGUCAGGAGAGGUUAUAGAGUUGCAGAAGGUUCAAAAUUAUAUAUGCCAGGCAUCCACCUGCAGACCGCAUGAAUGAGCAGCUAUUUGCCUGAUAGCAGUCUAAUUUAAUUAAAUAUCUGUUUACAUCUACAAUCAAACCAUCUCUUUUACUCCAGAUUUCUUGAACCUGAGGAAAAAAUACCACAGACACCACUGCCCACACAGACGCUGCCUGCCUCUGCACUCCAGAGUACCCUUCCCUUGAGGUCAGGAGAACUGCAAUGGGGAAGACUCGAGGAGAGAAAUGUGAAUAUGGACCGCAGUUUGUGGCAGAAACAUCACGGCUGGAGCCCAUGAAAGAAGGGGAGAUAUGGGACUCCACAAAGAUGCCACCCACAGACUUUAAUGUACAUGUAUCUGCUUCUGUAGCAAGAAUCUGAAUAUUCAUUAAACCAUGAAAAGCUACAACAGCUGGGCGACCACAGAGCUGGGCUCGGCCAGUUUUGAGCUCCUUCCAAAUGAUAAAAUGGGGAAAAUAGGAUGAGAGCUUUUAAUCAAUAUCAUCAAGUAUAUUCAAUAAUCGAUUUAAAAAGCUGCGGACCAAAGAGCUGUAAAUACCCCUAGUAUAGCUACAAAUUGUUUAUAUUGUAUGUUCAGAUGUUUAUUGAAUUACUUUUUAAUAAAAACAAAACAAAAAAGAAAACUGUUUUGAUUGUGUUUGUGUUAAAGAUGCAAUGC
Long non-coding RNA from Haplochromis burtoni (Burton's mouthbrooder), 9625 nucleotides. RefSeq lists it as uncharacterized. The transcript has 6 exons. The record is from RefSeq and is a predicted model, not a curated record. Lineage: Eukaryota; Metazoa; Chordata; Actinopteri; Cichliformes; Cichlidae.